GGCUCGUUGGUCUAGGGGUAUGAAUCUUGCUUUGGCUGUGAGAAGUCCCGGUUCAAAUCCUGGAUGAGCCC
This 71-nucleotide transfer RNA is filed under the name Ameiurus melas (black bullhead). It matches the Rfam family "tRNA". Rfam says of the family: Transfer RNA (tRNA) molecules are approximately 80 nucleotides in length. Their secondary structure includes four short double-helical elements and three loops (D, anti-codon, and T loops). The record is from Rfam by way of RNAcentral. Lineage: Eukaryota; Metazoa; Chordata; Actinopteri; Siluriformes; Ictaluridae.